This 253-nucleotide ribosomal RNA is filed under the name uncultured bacterium. Its description in RNAcentral is "partial 16S ribosomal RNA". It matches the Rfam family "Bacterial small subunit ribosomal RNA", at positions 524 to 776 of the family's 1533-position model. The record is from RNAcentral.
UACGGAGGGUGCAAACGUUGUCCGGAAUCACUGGGCGUAAAGAGCAUGUAGGUGGCUAGAUAAGUGAAUGAUCAAAGACCGAUGCUUAACAUCGGGCCGGUUGUUCAUACUGUCUGGCUUGAGGAUGACAGGGGUAAGCGGAACUUUAGGUGUAGGAGUGAAAUCCGUAGAUAUCUAAAGGAACACCAAUGGCGAAGGCAGCUUACUGGGUCUUUUCUGACACUGAGAUGCGAAAGCGUGGGGAGCGAACGGG